GGUGACCUACCGUCGCCCCCUUAAGACUUUCCACUUCCGUGGUUUUGCUGAAUAUUUAUUAAAUGGCACUGUUUCACUUUCACAUGUGCAAAUAUAUUCAUUAAGGUUGAGCGGCAAUAAAUCUGCAAAGUACGUUGUGAAUCUGCAAAUUCAUAAUGAAUAGAAGCUGAAUUCUGAAGGCUUCUUGGUUACUGAAUCCUGAAGGCUGCAAUUUGAAAUAUGAGAACUGUGAAAGGUUCUGUUGCAGGAGAAUACUUUGGCCUAUGCAUUUUCUGGUUGGCACCAGCUAGUUAUGGCAAUUGAUUGGACACAAUUGGUGAAAGAAGAAUGAUGUGUUAUUCUCACUCAUGAUCUUAGUUAUUUGAUUUGUUUAUAUAAUAUUAGUAUCAUGUUAGUCACAUGUUAUUUGUGAGAAUUCUUUCAAUAAUGCAUGAUUUUGAGAUGCCUCUCUCAACUUGCACUAUGAAUGUUUUGACUAUAUUAUCAUAUAAUAUAAUAGAAUAUACUUAGAUACCAUGUGUCAAGGAAUGAAACUGAAAUAAUCUAAAAUUAUUUUAUUCUUAAUAAUGUGGUAGUAGCAUCUGAUUCAUAUGCUCUCUAUACGUGAAACACACUACAAUGAUGUGUUAUUCAUAUGCUGAAAAUUUUAAAUAGCUAACUACAAUGUCACUUUUUUUGUUGUUGUUGAUUAUAUAUGUUGUGUUAACUCUUUUUAAUGUGGUAGUGAGGUUAUCAAUUUACAAACAUAAUUAGACUAGCCGGCCGUAAUUUUUUCUAGAGAAAGAAGCUCAAUUUCCCUUCUAAUUUCUCUCAGGGGGUUCAAAAACAAACUCAUGGUCUCUUGGACUCAGGUUCAAACAUAUUAUUUUUCUCCCAGGUUGCAAAGGCCCUGAACCUGACCUUGUACUCAGGUUGUGGUUUAUGAAUCGGUAUCGAAUUGUUGACGUUACCAUUGCGCGCCAAGUGUUGGUAAAUUGCUUCAACCAAAUUUCUUUCCUCUUUUCGGUUCUAUUUGGAUGUGAAUUGUAAUGCUGGAUUUUCUGUUAUUGUUUGUUGAAUUUGUUGUGAUUAUAAUUUAUUUUAAUAUGAAUAUAGUCCCUAGAUGAGAUAAAAAAGAGUGUAACCAUAACAUCCAAAAUUAUUCUUUGCAUAACAUUGACAAUUCUUGCAAGGUUCAUUAAUGCUUAGCAUAAUUGAUUUAUUGUCGAGUCACAGGCAAACGAGAGUGUUGAAAUAACAUAAAAUUUGUGCCAGCACUCUAAAGAAAAGACAUAAUGGUAAUAGAUAGAUUGGAAAUGGGAGGAUUGUUUCUACUCUACCAUUAUAGAUCAAAGUUCCUUUUCAUAUGAGAUUUGUAAAUUCUAAGAUUUAUAUAGUUUUGAAAGUUUUCUUUACUGUGAAACUUAGAAAAACUGGGUGUUAUAUUCUCCUGCUAUCAUGUUUGAAGUCGUCAGAGGACUCAGACGGGGUUUAAUACAUAUUAGUGGUUUGAUUGCACACAACAUAUAAUGAAGGGUCAAAAUGUGUCAUGACUGUUAUCUUUGUAGAUUAUCUGGUUUGAGGAGAAAUUAAAUUAUAUUUGAAGUAAUUAGAAUCAUCACAUCAUUUCAUAGCCAUCAUCUACGGUAAUUCUGAUUUCAUAAGAUAGUUACUACAAACACUGAAUUCAUGUCAUGCAAUGUCAUGCCAAGCUUCAAAAGCAAGUGCUCUGUUCUCAUCAUACUUCAGAUGAAUUUUGGUGCUUCAUCCCUAAUAUGGUUCAGGAAUGUAUCCCAAAGUGGAAUCCCGAGCUCAUAGAUUACGAAAGCUUCUUACUAGAAAAAUUCCAUUAAUGCUUCCUAUAACAUAAGUAUUGUUUGGCUGUGCUAGUAUGAAAUGAGUUCCUAUUUGUCUAUUUCAAAAUCAUUUUAUUACAGGUACACCUUACCUUGCCGCCGUUGUUAAAACUAUAUUCUACUGCCGUUGAAGAUAGAGAUAAAAACUUAACAGUUGUUUUUGAUAUGUUGGCAACGUUUAUUGGUACUCUAUGGAAAUAUUUUUUACUUUUUCUUGGUUGCUCUUGAUCUUCGUCGUCAAAGUCCUCGUUCAGUUCAAAACAUUAUGGCAUGGUUAAUAAGGUUGCCGAGAGCAUGUUCAAGCCUCUUUUUGUAAAUAGUAUUGAAUGGGCAGAAUCUGUAGUGGAUGAAACUGCAUCGGCGGGAAGCAUAGAUAGGGCCAUAUAUUUUUAUGGCAUGGUAAAUAAGCUUGCUGAGAACCAUCGGUCAUUGUUUGUUCCUUACUUCAAAUACCUACUUGGUAGUUGUGUUCAUCAUCUUGGCGACGACGGAGACUCUAAUGUGUCUAGUCUGGGCCUGAGAAUUAUUAAACAUUUUGUAGAUAACUUGGAAGAAGAAUAUUUAGUAUUAUUAGCGGAAACAAUCCUCUGCCUUUGUGAACUUCUCGAGGAUGUGGAGCUUUGAGUUAAAUCUCUUGCUCAAGAAAUUCAACAAGAAAUGAAGUCUAUGAGUGGGGAAAGCAUUCGACAAUACUUAUGAUCUUAGAUUAGGAAGGUAGUUUUCAUUGUAUCGUGAUGUGAUGAGUGUGAGCUAGAAAUGUGUAAUCAAAUAUAUGGAAAUCGUAUUGUAGUUCAAUGUACAUUAUGUCUAUUUUAAAGGAAGGUUCCAUUAUUUUAUUCUGAUAAAAGUUAAGUUCAAUUAUUUUUUUCACAUUAUAAUGCUUAUUUGAUAUUAGGAGAAUAAAAUAAUAAUAAUUUAAAGAAAGUUUUAAUAUUUAAAAAAUAAUACAAUUAAUAAAA
Molecule: long non-coding RNA, 2794 nt
Organism: Vicia villosa (hairy vetch)
Lineage: Eukaryota; Viridiplantae; Streptophyta; Magnoliopsida; Fabales; Fabaceae
Exons: 3
Source: RefSeq, a predicted model, not a curated record